AAGUGGGGAAUACCUCGGGGAAACUCGAGCUAAUUCCGCAUGACAUCUUCGGGACGAAAGUCCUGACGAUCAAAGCGGGGUCGCAAGAUCUCGCGCUACCGGAUGGGCCCGCGCCCGAUUAGCUAGUUGGUGAGGUAAUGGCUCACCAAGGCUUCGAUCGGUAACCGGCCUGAGAGGGCGAUCGGUCACACCGGAACUGAGACACGGUCCGGACUCCUACGGGAGGCAGCAGUGGGGAAUAUUGGACAAUGGGCGAAAGCCUGAUCCAGCAAUGCGCGUGAGUGAUGAAGGCCUUCGGGUUGUAAAGCUCUGUCGGGAGGGACGAAAAAGCGGAUUAACAAACCGCAUUG
RNAcentral lists this ribosomal RNA (350 nucleotides) under uncultured Pseudomonadota bacterium. Its description in RNAcentral is "bacterial SSU rRNA". It matches the Rfam family "Bacterial small subunit ribosomal RNA", at positions 134 to 471 of the family's 1533-position model. The record is from RNAcentral. Lineage: Bacteria; Pseudomonadati; Pseudomonadota.